Molecule: ribosomal RNA, 605 nt
Filed under: Meyerozyma guilliermondii
Lineage: Eukaryota; Fungi; Ascomycota; Pichiomycetes; Serinales; Debaryomycetaceae
Description: eukaryotic LSU rRNA
Rfam family: 5.8S ribosomal RNA (bases 198-351)
Source: RNAcentral
GUAGGGUGAACCUGCGGAAGGAUCAUUACAGUAUUCUUUUGCCAGCGCUUAACUGCGCGGCGAAAAACCUUACACACAGUGUCUUUUUGAUACAGAACUCUUGCUUUGGUUUGGCCUAGAGAUAGGUUGGGCCAGAGGUUUAACAAAACACAAUUUAAUUAUUUUUACAGUUAGUCAAAUUUUGAAUUAAUCUUCAAAACUUUCAACAACGGAUCUCUUGGUUCUCGCAUCGAUGAAGAACGCAGCGAAAUGCGAUAAGUAAUAUGAAUUGCAGAUUUUCGUGAAUCAUCGAAUCUUUGAACGCACAUUGCGCCCUCUGGUAUUCCAGAGGGCAUGCCUGUUUGAGCGUCAUUUCUCUCUCAAACCCCCGGGUUUGGUAUUGAGUGAUACUCUUAGUCGGACUAGGCGUUUGCUUGAAAAGUAUUGGCAUGGGUAGUACUGGAUAGUGCUGUCGACCUCUCAAUGUAUUAGGUUUAUCCAACUCGUUGAAUGGUGUGGCGGGAUAUUUCUGGUAUUGUUGGCCCGGCCUUACAACAACCAAACAAGUUGACCUCAAAUCAGGUAGGAAUACCCGCUGAACUUAAGCAUAUCAAUAAGCGGAGGAA